Molecule: non-coding RNA, 97 nt
Organism: Neophaeococcomyces mojaviensis
Lineage: Eukaryota; Fungi; Ascomycota; Eurotiomycetes; Chaetothyriales
Source: the annotation of a GenBank genome assembly
AGUUCCAUGGUGUAGUGGCUAUCACGUCUCCUUUACAAGUAAUCCUUACUUAGUAUGUAUACGGAGAAGGUCGAGGGUUCAAUCCCCUCUGGGACUA